CUCUGCCCCAAGCAGCAUAGAAGGACACCCAGAGGCAGAAAAGAAUAUCAAGAGCAAUGGCACAUAGCUUUCUGAAGCUCUGCAUUCCUGGAAGAGUUAGAGCGACUGUCAAAGCCCUCGACGUAUCCAUUUUUAUUAGUUUUUGUGGUGAUUUGAUGUUGUUAGGGAUUCAGCUCUCAUCUUCGCCUCUGAGAUCAUCUGAAUAACGCCGGGAAUAGGGAAGGCAAGAACAGAGAUGAGGCAGCCACAGGCAGCCCUGGACCCGACCAUAUAAAUCUAGGAGGAGGGUGGGGCAGGAGAGCCUGGGCUUCCCAGUUUGCUGGGCACGAGGCUGAGCCGGGGAAGCAGGAGGCAUUGGAGAAGACCGUGUUUUGCCUUCACUCCAGGUGGCCAUGACAGGUGCCAUGAAAGUCUCAAUCAUGCUCCUCCUAGUAACUGUGUCCGACUGUGCGGUGA
This 456-nucleotide long non-coding RNA is filed under the name Marmota monax (woodchuck). Lineage: Eukaryota; Metazoa; Chordata; Mammalia; Rodentia; Sciuridae. The record is from RNAcentral.